This 205-nucleotide ribosomal RNA is filed under the name uncultured bacterium. RNAcentral describes it as "partial 16S ribosomal RNA". It matches the Rfam family "Bacterial small subunit ribosomal RNA", at positions 1296 to 1500 of the family's 1533-position model. The record is from RNAcentral.
GAUUGCAGGCUGCAACCCGCCUGCAUGAAGUUGGAAUCGCUAGUAAUCGCGGAUCAGCAUGCCGCGGUGAAUACGUUCCCGGGCCUUGUACACACCGCCCGUCACACCAUGAGAGUCGGGGACACCCGAAGUCCGUAGUCUAACCGCAAGGGGGACGCGGCCGAAGGUGGAUUCGAUAAUUGGGGUGAAGUCGUAACAAGGUAAC